RNAcentral lists this ribosomal RNA (447 nucleotides) under uncultured bacterium. Its description in RNAcentral is "partial 16S ribosomal RNA". It matches the Rfam family "Bacterial small subunit ribosomal RNA", at positions 330 to 794 of the family's 1533-position model. The record is from RNAcentral.
ACCAGACUCCUACGGGAGACAGCAGUGGGGGAUAUUGCACAAUGGGGGGAACCCUGAUGCAGCGACGCCGCGUGGGUGAAGGAGCGUUUCGGCGCGUAAAGCCCUAUCGGCAGGGAAGAAGAUGACGGUACCUGACCAAGAAGCCCCGGCUAACUACGUGCCAGCAGCCGCGGUAAUACGUAGGGGGCAAGCGUUAUCCGGAUUUACUGGGUGUAAAGGGGGCGCAGACGGCAAUGCAAGCCAGGAGUGAAAGGCAGGGGCCCAACCCCGGGACUGCUCUUGGAACUGCAUGGCUGGAGUACAGGAGGGGGAGGCGGAAUUCCUAGUGUAGCGGUGAAAUGCGUAGAUAUCAGGAGGAACACCGGUGGCGAAGGCGGCCUGCUGGACUGCGACUGACGUUGAGGCCCGAAAGCGUGGGGAGCAAACAGGAUUAGAUACCCCCGUAAA